RNAcentral lists this ribosomal RNA (425 nucleotides) under uncultured bacterium. RNAcentral's name for it is "partial 16S ribosomal RNA". It matches the Rfam family "Bacterial small subunit ribosomal RNA", at positions 354 to 796 of the family's 1533-position model. The record is from RNAcentral.
GUGGGGAAUAUUGGACAAUGGGCGAAAGCCUGAUCCAGCCAUGCCGCGUGAGUGAUGAAGGCCUUAGGGUUGUAAAGCUCUUUCAGUAGGGAAGAUAAUGACGGUACCUACAGAAGAAGCCCCGGCUAACUUCGUGCCAGCAGCCGCGGUAAUACGAAGGGGGCUAGCGUUGUUCGGAUUUACUGGGCGUAAAGCGCACGUAGGCGGAUUGGUCAGUUAGGGGUGAAAUCCCAGAGCUCAACUCUGGAACUGCCCUUAAUACUGCCAAUCUAGAGUCCGGAAGAGGUGAGUGGAACUCCUAGUGUAGAGGUGGAAUUCGUAGAUAUUAGGAAGAACACCAGUGGCGAAGGCGGCUCACUGGUCCGGUACUGACGCUGAGGUGCGAAAGCGUGGGGAGCAAACAGGAUUAGAAACCCGGGUAGUCC